Long non-coding RNA from Epinephelus moara (kelp grouper), 521 nucleotides. RefSeq lists it as uncharacterized. The transcript has 2 exons. NCBI's taxonomy places the organism in Eukaryota, Metazoa, Chordata, Actinopteri, Perciformes, Serranidae. The record is from RefSeq and is a predicted model, not a curated record.
CAUCUAAACACUGUAAAGAUCUCUAAGAUUUGAUGUUGGCAGACUUACAAUCCCCCAGUGGCACUGCCAGCACCCUUCCUGAGGUCAGUCAGGCUCCAACUGGGGACACGGGUGUGCCCUGGGAGGACGGGUCCUCCUCCCAAGGAUCCUGUGUGGGCAAGGCAAGAGUCCUCCCUAGCAUUCAGUGAAUACACAUUGUUAGGUCCAGGCUCUGUAUUGAAGUCUAUAAAGCACAUAUAAAAAUAACUCACAUUGACCAAAGUGCUGUACAAAAAAAUCAUCGACAACUGAAACUCUGUGAAUGAAAACAUGAGCUCUGGUGCUUUAUUAUUAUUAUUAUUAUUUAUUUUAAAUAGUACAGUAACCACACCAUAAUCCUUUGUCACUCACGGAGAAGGUACCAGACCAGUUGUUGUGUUAGGGGCAGGGCUGCUGCUGGGAAUAUAGGUGCCCUUUCUUUGUGGUGCCCAGUUCCACCUCAACAGACACACACACACACACACACACACACACACACACAC